RNAcentral lists this unclassified non-coding RNA (378 nucleotides) under plant metagenome. Its description in RNAcentral is "partial contains 5.8S ribosomal RNA, internal transcribed spacer 2, and large subunit ribosomal RNA". The stretch from base 1 to 105 matches the Rfam family "5.8S ribosomal RNA", at positions 50 to 154 of the family's 154-position model. The record is from RNAcentral.
GAAAUGCGAUAAGUAAUGUGAAUUGCAGAAUUCAGUGAAUCAUCGAAUCUUUGAACGCACCUUGCGCUCCUUGGUAUUCCUUGGAGCAUGCCUGUUUGAGUAUCAUGAAAUCUUCAAAGUAAAUCUUUUGUUAACUCAAUUGGUUUCUACUUUGGUAUUUGAGGUCUUUGCAGCUUCACACCUGCUCCUCUUUGUUCAUUAGCUGGAUCUCAGUGUUAUGCUUGGUUCCACUCGGCGUGAUAAGUUAUCUAUCGCUGAGGACACUGUAAAAGGUGGCCAAGGUAAAUGCAGAUGAACCGCUUCUAAUAGUCCAUUGACUUGGACAAUACUUUUAUGAUCUGAUCUCAAAUCAGGUAGGACUACCCGCUGAACUUAAGC